Theobroma cacao (cacao) is the source of this 1048-nucleotide long non-coding RNA. RefSeq lists it as uncharacterized. NCBI's taxonomy places the organism in Eukaryota, Viridiplantae, Streptophyta, Magnoliopsida, Malvales, Malvaceae. The record is from RefSeq and is a predicted model, not a curated record.
UGUCAUUAACGCCAAGCUGAUUUUCUCUCUAUCCUUUCCCUCAUUCAUUUUACCUUUCAUUCUUCCAUCCCUAAAGCUUUACCCAAGCUUUCCUUUUCCAUUUCCUCUAUGGUAGUCCUCGGGUAGCUCAAGGGAAAUACAAAAAAAAUAUAGAGGAAAACAAUGGAAAAAUUCUUUUAACCCUUGAUAUCCCGAGCCUAACAAUGCAACCUUGAAGGAGUUAAGGCUUCAUAAAUGGGGGUAGGCUGCUGGAAAUCUCAAUGAGUAAGCUUUGAAGAAGUAAAGUGAGCAAGAAUUAUUGCGCUUUGGAGGGGUUUUAAGAGGUAACAAGGUUGCUGUGAAGGUUGGAAAAAAUAGCGUAGGCCGUGGCACUAGAACCCUUGAAGGCCAAGAUGGUAGAGAAUUGAACUUUGCUGUAGCAAUUAACCGAAUCAAGUUUAAGCCAAGAAGAUUGAUUAGUAACAUUGGUGAGAAUUCCCACCAAUUGAGUCCUAGUGAUCACGUGGCCCUCAACGCAUGAUGCCGAUUAUUUCACGUGUCAAUUUCUUAUCCCUGCGUCACAAGUAUGCACCACGUGUUUAAAAUGUGGUUCAUUCACUGAACUGAACCCCGAUUUGUAAACUGGCUUAACUUUUGUUUAUUAAAAUGAGUGUCUGGGGACAAACGGUUCAACGUACGGAAACAAAGAAAUACUGAUCCUAUCUUUCCAUGACUGUGGAAAGGACUUUGCCCACGAAAUAAGCAUGCUGUAAUCUCAAAAGGCCCGCCAACUGGAAGGUCUAGAACAUCGAAUUCUAUCCUCCUAGGUGGCUCUCCUGGAAUGAUGGGGCUGAUUCCCUUAUCCUUAAUUUUGAUUGAUGACCACGUUUUGUGAUGGGAUUUGAUUGUUGAGAUAUGCAAUUGGGUUUGAUUCGAACUCUGAAUAAUUGAAUAAAAAAUUCUCUGCUAUGCAGGAAAGAGUAAUCAUUACUCUGUGUGCUAUUUUUGAAAUAAAUCACUCAAUUUGCUUGGCCGCUUUCUUUUCACCCUCCCAAUGGUGCCUGCAAGC